CAAUAGCGUAUAUUAAAGUUGUUGCAGUUAAAAAGCUCGUAGUUGGAUUUGUGGCGUACGGUGUGUUCCGGGCACUUGUUGUCUGAGUAACCUGCUGUUGCCAUCCUUGGAUGGAACCUGUGUGGCAUUAGGUUGUCGUGCAGGGGAUGCCCAUCAUUUACUGUGAAAAAAUUAGAGUGUUCAAAGCAGGCUUAUGCCGUUGAAUAUAUUAGCAUGGAAUAAUGAGAUAGGACUUUUUUGCUAUUUUGUUGGUUUGCGCAAAGAGGUAAUGAUUAAUAGGGACAGUUGGGGGUAUUCGUAUUCCAUUGUCAGAGGUGAAAUUCUUGGAUUUUUGGAAGACGAACUACUGCGAAAGCAUUUACCAAGGAUGUUUUCAUUAA
Molecule: ribosomal RNA, 380 nt
Filed under: uncultured eukaryote
Lineage: Eukaryota
Description: partial 18S ribosomal RNA
Rfam family: Eukaryotic small subunit ribosomal RNA
Source: RNAcentral